GAUGAACGUUGGCGGUGUGCCUAAUACAUGCAAGUCGAACGGAGACUGUAGCAAUACUGUCUUAGUGGCGAACGGGUGAGUAACGCGUUGGUGAUCUGCCUCGAAGUGUGGAAUAACCUCCCGAAAGGGAAGCUAAUACCGCAUAGUCUCUCAAGGUUUAGAAAAUUGAGAGUAAAGGAUUUAUUCGCUUCGAGAGGAGCCUGCGUCCCAUCAGCUAGUUGGUAGGGUAACGGCCUACCAAGGCAAUGACGGGUAGGGGACCUGAGAGGGUGGCCCCCCACAAUGGAACUGAAACACGGUCCAUACACCUACGGGUGGCAGCAGUAGGGAAUAUUAGAAAUGGGCGGAAGCCUGAUCUAGCAACACCGCGUGUGCGAUGAAGGCCUUCGGGUCGUAAAGCACUUUUGGUAGGGAAUAGGAAGGGAAGGUACCUCCAGAAUAAGUCUCGGCUAACUACGUG
This 460-nucleotide ribosomal RNA is filed under the name uncultured bacterium. Its description in RNAcentral is "bacterial SSU rRNA". It matches the Rfam family "Bacterial small subunit ribosomal RNA", at positions 28 to 507 of the family's 1533-position model. The record is from RNAcentral.